RNAcentral lists this ribosomal RNA (396 nucleotides) under uncultured bacterium. Its description in RNAcentral is "partial 16S ribosomal RNA". It matches the Rfam family "Bacterial small subunit ribosomal RNA", at positions 523 to 918 of the family's 1533-position model. The record is from RNAcentral.
AUACGUAGGGGGCGAGCGUUGUCCGGAAUGAUUGGGCGUAAAGGGCGCGUAGGCGGCCCGGUAAGUCUGGAGUGAAAGUCCUGUUUUUAAGAUGGGAAUUGCUUUGGAUACUGUCGGGCUUGAGUGCAGGAGAGGUAAGUGGAAUUCCCAGUGUAGCGGUGAAAUGCGUAGAGAUUGGGAGGAACACCAGUGGCGAAGGCGACUUACUGGACUGUAACUGGCGCUGAGGAGCGAAAGUGUGGGGAGCAAACAGGAUUAGAUACCCUGGUAGUCCACACCGUAAACGAUGGAUACUAGGUGUGCGGGGACUGACCCCCUGCGUGCCGCAGUUAACACAAUAAGUAUCCCACCUGGGGAGUACGAUCGCAAGAUUGAAACUCAAAUGAAUUGGCGGGG